UNUGACUUGAGUGCAGAAGGGGAGAGUGGAAUUCCAUGUGUAGCGGUGAAAUGCGUAGAUAUAUGGAGGAACACCAGUGGCGAAAGCGGCUCUCUGGUCUGUCACUGACGCUGAGGCUCGAAAGCGUGGGUAGCGAACAGGAUUAGAUACCCUGGUAGUCCACGCCGUAAACGAUGAGUGCUAGGUGUUAGGCCCUUUCCGGGGCUUAGUGCCGGAGCUAACGCAAUAAGCACUCCGCCUGGGGAGUACGACCGCAAGGUUGAAACUCAAAGGAAUUGACGGGGGCCCGCACAGGCGGUGGAGCAUGUGGUUUAAUUCGAAGCAACGCGAAGAACCUUACCAGGUCUUGACAUCCCGAUGCUAUUCUUAGAGAUAGGAAGUUACUUCGGUACAUCGGAGACAGGUGGUGCAUGGUUGUCGUCAGCUCGUGUCGUGAGAUGUUGGGUUAAGUCCCGCAACGAGCGCAACCCUUAUUGUUAGUUGCCAUCAUUAAGUUGGGCACUCUAGCGAGACUGCCGGUAAUAAACCGGAGGAAGGUGGGGAUGACGUCAAAUCAUCAUGCCCCUUAUGACCUGGGCUACACACGUGCUACAAUGGUCGAUACAACGAGUUGCGAGCCGGUGACGGCAAGCUAAUCUCUGAAAGCCGAUCUCAGUUCGGAUUGGAGGCUGCAACUCGCCUCCAUGAAGUCGGAAUCGCUAGUAAUCGCGGAUCAGCACGCCGCGGUGAAUACGUUCCCGGGCCUUGUACACACCGCCCGUCACACCACGAGAGUUUGUAACACCCGAAGUCGGUGAGGUAACCUUUUAGGGGCCAGCCG
Molecule: ribosomal RNA, 820 nt
Filed under: uncultured bacterium
Lineage: Bacteria
Description: bacterial SSU rRNA
Rfam family: Bacterial small subunit ribosomal RNA
Source: RNAcentral